Molecule: ribosomal RNA, 748 nt
Filed under: Odorrana hosii (Mount Dulit frog)
Lineage: Eukaryota; Metazoa; Chordata; Amphibia; Anura; Ranidae
Description: partial 12S ribosomal RNA
Rfam family: Bacterial small subunit ribosomal RNA (bases 1-503)
Source: RNAcentral
GCCCAGCCGUAAACAAUUAAUUUACACCUAUAAGCGCCAGGGAAUUACGAGCCACGCUUAAAACCCAAAGGAUUUGACGGUGUCCCACCCACCUAGAGGAGCCUGUUCUACAAUCGACAAUACCCGCUAUACCUAACCCCCUCUUGCUAUUCAGUCUGUAUACCUCCGUCGAAAGCUUACCAUGUGAACGUUUACAGUAAGUACAAUAGCCCCUCAACGGCAACACGUCAGGUCAAGGUGCAACUUAAGUGGUGGGAAGCAAUUGGCUACAAUUUCUAGUCUAGAACAAACGGAAAACUAUGUGAAAUCAUGGUCAUGAAGGCGGAUUUAGCAGUAAAAAGAAAAUAGAGUGUUCUUUUUAACCUGGCUCUGGGACGCGUACACACCGCCCGUCACUCUCUUCGAUAGUAUUACAAACAGUCCAUAACCAAUCUACACGUUUUAGAAGAGGGAAGUCGUAACAUGGUAAGUGUACUGGAAAGUGCACUUGGAAUAAACAAAAUGUAGCUUAACAAAGCUCUUCGCUUACACCGAGAAGAUAUCUGUUCAAAUCAGAUCAUUUUGAGCCUCAAAUCUAGCCCACAUGACCCGCAUGAAAACCUUAAACUACUGAAAAAAAUAAAUCAUUUUAACAUUCUAGUAUAGGUGAUAGAAAAAUUACUAAGCGCCUUAGAAAUAGUACCGCAAGGGAAAUAUGAAAUAGAAGUGAAACAAUAUAACAGCCACAAACAGCAGAGACAUCACCUUG